GAGGAUGUUUACCUUGGUCACAGGGGAUGGGCCAUUACCAUUGUGACGUCGGCGCCCAUGGGUACUCUCCCUUUUCGAAACGUUUUGAAAGACAAUGCAACCGUCCCAAUGGAAUAUUAUUGAAGCCCUGGUUGAAAAAGCCCCUAAAGAUUUAUGUUAUACAACGUUUGACAUGUUUGAACGAACUUAAAUAUAUUUCUUUUGCUCAUUCCUGACGACAAGUCAGACGCACACGGUACAUUUUUACUAGCCUUCGGAGCGCGCUAACACUAUUGGGACAUAAAUUAUUAACUUUUUUGAACAAAACUACAUUUGUUAUGGACCUGGGAAUUCCUAGAAGUGCCUUCUGAUAAAGAUAAUCUAAGAUGCUAUGCCGGAUUAACUCAUUGCAGAAUGUGUCCAUAAUCACGAAUGAAUAAGCAUAUUUACAGUGCCUUCAGUGUGCUCUGAGGAUGGAACAUGUGCUGUGGGGUUCAGUGUGGGUGGACAUGGUGGCUCAGUUGAUGACCAGUUAUUUAUGUAUUGCAAAGUUUCACGGAUUAAAUAAAAAUGUGGAACUACAACCACGCUGCACUUUGGUCCGAUCCUUUCGACAACCGUGACAGAAUCACCCACCAAAAAAGGACCAAGCAGCGUGCCCUGGAGGAGCAGUGAUCCUGGGCUCGGGAGAAGAGGGAAUGGAGGAUGUCCUGGACCUGGGAGGAGGUAAUGGCAGGGGACAAGACCCUGCCAUGGUAGCAGGUGGAAACGGAGCAAGCGGAACAGCGAUGCUAUGAGGAGCUAGCCCAACGACG
Molecule: long non-coding RNA, 794 nt
Filed under: Salmo salar (Atlantic salmon)
Lineage: Eukaryota; Metazoa; Chordata; Actinopteri; Salmoniformes; Salmonidae
Description: lncRNA (ENSSSAG00000092475.1)
Source: RNAcentral